CCCAUCGAUGGAAUUGAGAUACGGUCCAUACUCCUACGGGAGGCUGCAGUCGAGAAUAUUCGACAAUGGGCGAAAGCCUGAUCGAGCGACGUCGCGUGGUGGAUGAAGUCCUUCGGGACGUAAACAUCUUUUAUGAGGGAGGAAGUUAUUGACGUUACCUCAUGAAUAAGGGGCUCCAAACUCUGUGCCAGCAGGAGCGGUAAUACAGAGGCCCCAAGCAUUACCCGGAAUUAUUGGGCGUAAAGGGUGCGUAGGUGGUCAUAUUAGUCGAAUGUUAAAUCCCAGGGCUUAACUCUGGAAUCGCAUUCGAAACGGUAUGACUCGAGAGCGUGAGAGGUGAAUGGAACUCAUGGUGUAGGGGUGAAAUCCGUUGAUAUCAUGGGGAGCACCGAAAGCGAAAGCAAUUCACUGGCACGUUUCUGACACUCAAGCACGAAAGCGUGGGUAGCGAACGGGAUUAGAUACCCCGGUAGUCCACGCCCUAAACGAUGAUAACUGGAUUUAGGGAGUAUCGACCCUCUCUGAGUCGAAGCUAACGCGUUAAGUUAUCCGCCUGGGUAGUACGGUCGCAAGGCUAAAACUCAAAGGAAUUGACGG
RNAcentral lists this ribosomal RNA (597 nucleotides) under uncultured bacterium. Its description in RNAcentral is "bacterial SSU rRNA". It matches the Rfam family "Bacterial small subunit ribosomal RNA", at positions 306 to 916 of the family's 1533-position model. The record is from RNAcentral.